GAUAAACGCUGGCGGCGCACAUAAGACAUGCAAGUCGAACGGACUUAACUCGAAGUUUACUUUGAGAGCGGUUAGUGGCGGACUGGUGAAUAACGCGUGAGCAACCUGCCUACUAGAGGGGAAUAACAGUGAGAAAUCACUGCUAAUACCGCAUAAUGCUUUUGAGCGGCAUCGCUUGAAAGCCAAAGAUUUAUCGCUGAAAGAUGGUCUCGCGUCUGAUUAGCUAGUUGGUGAGGUAACGGCUCACCAAGGCGACGAUCAGUAGCCGGUCUGAGAGGAUGAACGGCCACAUUGGGACUGAGAUACGGCCCAG
This 313-nucleotide ribosomal RNA is filed under the name uncultured bacterium. Its description in RNAcentral is "bacterial SSU rRNA". It matches the Rfam family "Bacterial small subunit ribosomal RNA", at positions 28 to 334 of the family's 1533-position model. The record is from RNAcentral.